UACGUAGGGUGCGAGCGUUGUCCGGAAUUAUUGGGCGUAAAGAGCUUGUAGGCGGUUUGUCGCGUCUGCCGUGAAAAUCCGGGGCUCAACCCCGGACUUGCGGUGGGUACGGGCAGACUAGAGUGUGGUAGGGGAGACUGGAAUUCCUGGUGUAGCGGUGGAAUGCGCAGAUAUCAGGAGGAACACCGAUGGCGAAGGCAGGUCUCUGGGCCGCAACUGACGCUGAGGAGCGAAAGCAUGGGGAGCGAACAGG
Molecule: ribosomal RNA, 253 nt
Filed under: uncultured bacterium
Lineage: Bacteria
Description: partial 16S ribosomal RNA
Rfam family: Bacterial small subunit ribosomal RNA
Source: RNAcentral